Molecule: ribosomal RNA, 497 nt
Filed under: uncultured bacterium
Lineage: Bacteria
Description: partial 16S ribosomal RNA
Rfam family: Bacterial small subunit ribosomal RNA
Source: RNAcentral
GAUGAACGCUGGCGGCGUGCCUAAUACAUGCAAGUCGAGCGAACGGACGAUAAGCUUGCUUCUCUGAUGUUAGCGGCGGACGGGUGAGUAACACGUGGAUAACCUACCUAUAAGACUGGGAUAACUUCGGGAAACCGUAGCUAAUACCGUAUAAUAUUUUGAACCUCAUGGUUCAAAAGUGAAAGACGGUCUUGCUGUCACUUAUAGAUGGAUCCGCGCUGCAUUAGCUAGUUGGUAAGGUAACGGCUUACCAAGGCAACGAUGAAUACCCGACCUGAGAGGGUGAUCGGCCACACUGGAACUGAGACACGGUCCAGACUCCUACGGGAGGCAGCAGUAGGGAAUUUUCCGCAAUGGGGGAAAGCCUGACGGAGCAACGCCGCGUGAGUGAUGAAGGUCUUCGGAUCGUAAAACUCUGUUAUUAGGGAAGAACAUAUGUGUAAGUAACUGUGCACAUCUUGACGGUACCUAAUCAGAAAGCCACGGCUAACUACGUG